RNAcentral lists this ribosomal RNA (499 nucleotides) under uncultured bacterium. RNAcentral describes it as "partial 16S ribosomal RNA". It matches the Rfam family "Bacterial small subunit ribosomal RNA", at positions 28 to 523 of the family's 1533-position model. The record is from RNAcentral.
GAUGAACGCUAGCGGCAGGCCUAAUACAUGCAAGGCGAGGGGCAGCAGGAAUAGCAAUAUUUGCUGGCGACCGGCGCACGGGUGCGUAACACGUAUACAAUCUGCCUUCUACAGGGGGAUAGCCUUUCGAAAGAGAGAUUAAUACCCCAUAACACAAGAAAUAGCAUUAUUUUUUGUUGAAAGAUACGUCGGUAGAAGAUGAGUAUGCGGGUGAUUAGCUAGUUGGUGAGGUAACGGCUCACCAAGGCAACGAUCACUAGGGGAUCUGAGAGGACUACCCCCCACACUGGUACCGCGACACGGACCAGACUCCUACGGGAGGCAGCAGUAAGGAAUAUUGGACAAUGGAGGCAACGCUGAUCCAGCCAUGCCGCGUGCAGGAUGAAGGCCCUAUGGGUCGUAAACUGCUUUUGUACGAGAGAAAACCUAUUUACGUGUAGAUAGUUGAUAGUAUCGUAAGAAUAAGGAUCGGCUAACUUCGUGCCAGCCGCCGCGGUAA